CAAGUCGAGCGGGGUAGCAAUACCUAGCGGCGAACGGUCGCGUAACACGUAAGUAACCUGCCCCGAAGACCGGGCACAACAGUGGGAAACCGCUGCUAAUACCGGAUGUGCCCACCCUGUCGCAUGACCGGGGUGAGUAAAUCGCGCAAUCGGCUUCGGGAGGGACUUGCGGCCUAUCAGCUAGAUGGCGGGGUAGUGGCCCACCAUGGCGACGACGGGUAGCUGGUCUGAGAGGAUGGUCAGCCGGACUGGGACUGAGAUACGGCCCAGACUCCUACGGGGGGCAGCAAUUAGGAAUCUUGCGCAAUGGGCGAAAGCCUGACGCAGCGACGCCGCGUGGGGGAGGAAGGCCUUCGGGUUGUAAACCCCUUUUUCGAGGGAAGAAAAAAAUGACGGUACCUCGGGAAUAAGCCCCGGCUAACUCCGUGCCAGCAGCCGCGGUAAUACGGAGGGGGCGAGCGUUGUCCGAAGUUACUGGGCGUAAAGCGCGUGUAGGCGGGUUGUCAAGUCCGCUGUGAAAGCCCGAGGCUCAACCUCGGAGGGUCGGUGGAUACUGACAGUCUUGAAGGUGCUAGGGGGAGAUGGAAUUACCGGUGUAGCGGUGAAAUGCGUAGAGAUCGGUAGGAACACCAGUGGCGAAGGCGGUCUCCUGGGGCAUUCUUGACGCUGAGACGCGAAAGCUGGGGGAGCGAACGGGAUUAGAUACCCCGGUAGUCCCAGCCCUAAACGAUGGAUACUAGGUGUCGGGGGUAUCGACCCCCCCGGUGCCGCCGCUAACGCAGUAAGUAUCCCGCCUGGGGAGUACGGCCGCAAGGUUGAAACUCAAAGGAAUUGACGGGGGCCCGCACAAGCGGUGGAGCAUGUGGUUUAAUACGUUACUAGCGUAGAACCUUACCAGG
RNAcentral lists this ribosomal RNA (899 nucleotides) under uncultured Bacillota bacterium. Its description in RNAcentral is "bacterial SSU rRNA". It matches the Rfam family "Bacterial small subunit ribosomal RNA", at positions 58 to 978 of the family's 1533-position model. The record is from RNAcentral. Lineage: Bacteria; Bacillati; Bacillota.